Non-coding RNA from Xenopus laevis (African clawed frog), 746 nucleotides. NCBI's taxonomy places the organism in Eukaryota, Metazoa, Chordata, Amphibia, Anura, Pipidae. The record is from the annotation of a RefSeq genome assembly.
GAUGUUGGUUGGUGUUUUGCAUAGAGACAUUGUGUGGCUAAACUGCAGCUGCUAUAAAAGUGCCAGUGUCCCUGUGCCAUAUUAAUGAUCUGUAUGUGUCACAGUGCAUAGAUAGAGACAUGUCUUAUCCCACUUAUCUACUGCUGCUGCUGCUACUGGGGAUCCUCCUGAUCUUUAUCCAAGGUUCCUAUGGGCAUAUUGUACUGACUCAGUCUCCAGAUUAUGUCUCUGUGUCACCAGGAGAAACUGUCACCCUCACAUGUAAAGCCAGUAGCAGUGUUAUUGACGACAAUAGAGACAAUUGGUUGGCCUGGUUCCAACAGAAAUCAGGGCAGGCACCAAAGCUGCUGAUCUAUAAGGCAAACAAGCGACACACAGGGACCCCAGAGCGGAUCAGCGGCAGUGGGACUGGAACUGAUUUCACUCUUACAAUCAGCAGAAUGGAAGCUGAAGAUGCAGCAGAUUAUUACUGUCAGUUUCAUGGUGGUUCCCCUCUCACACAGUGAUACAGAGCUGAACAAAAACCUUCCUCUUUCUAUAGAAGCUUCAGUUACACAUAUAACAUGGAUCAUACUGAGAUAUCAGACUUCUUACUCUGCUGCCCUCCUGGCUAAGGGGUUGAUGCUAAUUAUUGAGAAACCAAUUUAUUUAACCACAUGUUUGAGCCCCUGUGGGCUCUGAGAGACCCCUGAUUAAUUUCUCUCCUAUAGUAAAGAGCAGUGAAUGGGUUUCAACACUUACACUUA